RNAcentral lists this long non-coding RNA (4474 nucleotides) under Lathyrus oleraceus (garden pea). Its description in RNAcentral is "Pisum sativum (pea) long non-coding RNA (PSAT_LNC019889)". The record is from RNAcentral. Lineage: Eukaryota; Viridiplantae; Streptophyta; Magnoliopsida; Fabales; Fabaceae.
UUUAAUCCAAAUAUACACUCUAUCACACCAAUUGCACCGCAUUUCAAAGUUAAAUUUUAUUCAACAAUACACUUCAUAAAUUCGUAAACACAUUUUCUUACCAUAUUGUUUAUCUGUUGUGUUUUAAUCUUUCAUGUCUUGAGAGGUUUGAACUAAUUAGUAAAAAUUGGUUACUUUUACUUUUGUUUUAAUCUUUCAUGUCAUUCAAGAUUUGAACAAUAUGGUAAUACUGAUUAGUUUUUUUUAAUCUAAAAUGCUUACUAAAUAUGCUAGGAGGACAAUACAACACAUUUUCUACCACUAUAUAAAGGACACUAUUGUUUAAUUGAUGUAAGGAGAGUUUGAACUUUAAAAGAUAUAAAUUGAUAAAACUAUUUCUUAAAUACAAAGGAAGAAAAAUGGCUGGAAUUAUCAAGUUUAUUCUUACUAUAAUUAUCUUUAUUUCUCUAUUGAUGGUGCCAUCCAACGCUGCAAGUAAGUUAAUUUUUUAAGAUUUAAAAAAUUUCCUUGUUACUUUGUACACAAUGUUUUAUCAAAUAUUAGCUAAACUUUUAUUCUUAUUUUUUCAAUAUAGAAACUGUUAAAUGUAUACAAGAUACAGAUUGUUUACAAUAUCAUAGGUGUAUGCCACCAAUGCUAAUGAAGUGUGACAAUAAACAAUGUAGAUGUGUUCCAGUGACCUAUUUCAUUCGUUAUGUUCCCGUAUGAUUCUUCAUAUUAAGUUCUCAUAUGGUUCUGCAUUUAGUGUUGUACCUAAGAGAUUAUUGUAUUGCUAUAUUAUAAUUUGUUUUUUUAUUUUUCAUUUCAAGAAUUUUGUAGUUAAGUUUAAUUUUAUUUAAAUCGAGUUCUUCUCUUUUAAUUUCAAAAUAUAUUCAUAGAUUUCAUUCCAGGUAUGUAUCAUGGUCAUUUCAAUCCUACCAUCUAUUAGAAUAAUACGUGUAAUAGUUAAGUUGAAUAACUGUUAUAUUGCUUAUAAGUCUGCACGUUUUUUUACAUGUUCAUGUUAUAGUAUCAAUACACUUCCCACCUUCAAUUUUCAUUUCUCUUAUAUUUUAAAUCUUUUAUUGGUCUCAUAUGUACUAUUCAAUUUUAAAAGAUAUGAAAAUAUAGAUAUUCACUAUAAAAAUGUAAAAAUCUAUUGUUAUAAGUGCAUAUUUUAUAGAAGAUUUGUUUAUGUUUCUACUUACUAACUAAAUAUAAUGUGUGGUUAAUAUAUUUUCUAUUUCAAAAGAAAUCUCGUAUAACUAAAUUGAAUUAGAUUAUGUAAGGUUAUAAUUUAUUAUAAAAUUUACAUGUAAUUUAAAAUGAAUAUGUUUCAAAAGACGUUUUUUUAUAUCUUUAAUUUUCUAUGAUUUUGUUGGGUUUUUUUUGAGAGGGGUAUAUAAAUUUGCAUUAUUAUUAUUAUUAUUAUUUUUAUUUUCUAAUUUUUAUAUUUAAAUUGGGGUGUGAGUUUUCUGGUGAGUAUGGGUGGUUGAGAGUUUCGUUAAAUUUAAAUUUAUUAAAUGAUUUAGAUUAUAAAAAAAAGUGUGAGAUAGAUGAAAAUGUAAGGUUUGGGAGAUAAGAAUUUUUUUUAACUGCGUCACAUGUAUAUGUGUGUGAUCAUAUAUGUAUUAAUUGUUUUGAUAUUACAUAUAAUUGGAUAUAAAGGUAAGCUAAUGGAUUAUCAUAGUAUAUUGUUUGUCCAUAACAAUUUAAUUUUGAAGAGUCAUAGUACAUCUUAAAAAACAACAUAGUAAACAUUGUUGUUUGUAAAAAAAAUUAGUGACAGUUAAGAAGAAUUUUUAUAAGGUUCCACAUAAUUAAUGAACUAGAAUAUAAAUAUAAUACAACCUAAGAGUACAUUAAUGAGCUUUGAAUAUGUACUAAUAUACACACAAAAAAGAUAUAAAUUAUGACAUAUCAUCUACAAAAUGAUUUUAACCUUUUGAAAUUUAUAGACCAUGACCAAAACCACCGGCUCACCUCCAAAAGAAUAACACUAAGUUAGCAUCAUAUAUGGAUUAUAAUAUGUUUGACACGCCACACACAAGAGGGAGUGACUCUUGGAUUUAAGAAAAGCAUCUUAUGUUAUCAUUUUUAAAGUUUAAAAAUAUCUUGAUUAAAAUAUUUAUAAAUUAGCAACGGAAAGUAAAUAUGUGAAAAAUUAAGAGUUAAGGGUAAGAGAAAUGAAAACAAAUAUUUAAACAGGUUCAAUCAAGAAGACUUAUUCAUGUCCAUAAUAUUUGAUCUUAAGAGUAUUCAGUAAUACUUAGAGAGUUUUGAGUAGGUUAAAAUCUUGAACCCACUAAUACAAGAAAAAAUGAAGUUUCAAAUUAACUUUCAACCAAACAAUGAACGAUGGAGUGAAGUGGUUAGUCUUCCUUCCAAAGAACGAACUUGAAGUGAUUAGUCUCAAAGCUAAAUCGUGAUUUUCUAUGGACUUGUCUCGAACCAAUAUGAGUUUUUAAUCUAACUAAAUUGGGGUUUUGACCAGACUGACCAUGAACCAAGAUGAGAUUUUUAAUCAUGCUUAUCUUGAACCCAAGUGAGUUUUUAACCAUGUUUAAAUCAUGAACUGAGUUGAUAUUUUGAAUAUGGUUGAUACCAAGCCAAAGUAAGCUUUUAACGUGGGUUGAGCUUAAAAGCCGAACUGACGACUUAGAAACUAAAUCUCCAAACCAAAGCUUUUAAAGGGUUUAACUUUUAAAGAGUGAUGAAUGAGAUACAAGGAUUACUUUUAUGGAUAUGAAAAUGUGAAAGAAAAUGCCUCUAUUUAUAGGCUAAAGCUUUGAUCAAAAAAGGAAAUAUCCAUGAGCCUAAAUUAAUGAGCCAAUCGAUUGACUUCUUGUCCCAACUAAUUGAGAGGCAAAAAUAAACGAUCAUAAAUGCUUAAAAUGGAAAUAAUAGAUACAUAGUUGUUUCCCUUUAUUAAGACAUUGUAACAAUUGAUAAGAACAUCUCUUGCACUAACCUAAUCGAUUGUGUAUACGUGUCAAUCUAUUGGACAAUUCAAAAACAUAUCCAAAACUAUUCUGACAUUUCCUUAUUCAACUAGAACGUCUCUAUAAAAAAUUUAGGAAUGUUUUCUUAAGAAAUAGAGGUUUAAAAAAUUAUGUGUGUGUAUGUAUGUGUGUGUGUGUGAGUGUAAUAUGCUCUUAAAUAUAUUUUGAAUGAUGUCAAUACUAGGUAGUUUAGAUCUUUGUGUAUUUGGACCUUACAAUCUUUGUGAAAAUGUGCAUCAUCAUCAUAGAAUAUGUAAGAUUAGAUUACAUAAGUCAUCAUAUGCCAAAAUAUAAGUUUUUCACAAAACAAUCAUGCAUGGGUCGAUAUAACCUCAGUAUGGGUCGAUACAUACUGAGUGGAAUUUCAAAGAAUUUGGAUCUGCCUUGAAUGGGUUGAUAUAAGGGAGAAAUCGGUUGAUAUAUUAUGCUUAAUGGGUUGACUCAUUCUUGCUUGGGUCGACUCAAUCUGAAAGAUGUUUUCAGAAUUUUCCACUGCCUCUAAUGGGUCAAUACAAAGUUGAAAUGGUUCAAUAUAUUAGGCGAAUGGGUCGACUCUCCUGUGUUUGGAGUGGACUCAUUCUGAAACAUUUAUUUCCCAAAUUAGCUACUGCCUCUAACGUAUCGACUCUAUUUGGUAUCGUAUUGACUCACUCAACUUAUGUAUUGACUCAUUCAAGUUUAGAGUCAAUACAUUAUGAACUAUCAAAAACACAUACCUUCACGGUUGGCAAAGAUGUAUAAUCACUAAGGACCACCUGUUGUUAAGUAGUGUGUGGUUUGUUAAUGGCCAAAUUGUGUAAAUAAUCCAUAGUAUUUUGUGGCUCUUUUCACUUAAUCUAAAUGGAAUAUCUUGUUAGAACCUUAGUUUUAAGUGUAAAUAUGUAGGUUUUAACAUUAUCAUGUAAAUAUCUUUUGUUUGAUCAUUUUGAUGCAAAUUUGUAGGCUUCAAAGCCUAUUGGAAAAAUAAACAAUGUAGAUGUGUUCCAGUGACCUAUUUCAUUCGUUAUGUUCCCGUAUGAUUCUUCAUAUUAAGUUCUCAUAUGGUUCUGCAUUUAGUGUUGUACCUAAGAGAUUAUUGUAUUGCUAUAUCAUAAUUUGUUUUUUUAUUUUUCAUUUCAAGAAUUUUGUAGUUAAGUUUAAUUUUAUUUAAAUCGAGUUCUUCUCUUUUAAUUUCAAAAUAUAUUCAUAGAUUUCAUUCCAGGUAUGUAUCAUGGUCAUUUCAAUCCUACCAUCUAUUAGAAUAACACGUGUAAUAGUUAAGUUGAAUAAUUGUUAUAUUGCUUAUAAGUCUGCACGUUUUUUUACAUGUUCAUGUUAUAGUAUCAAUACACUUCCCACCUUCAAUUUUCAUUUCUCUUAUAUUUUAAUUCUUUUAUUGGUCUCAUAUGUACUAUUCAAUUUUAAAAGAUAUGAAAAUAUAGAUAUUCACUAUAAAAAUGUAAAAAUCUAUUGUUAUAAGUGCAUAUUUAAUAGAAGAUUUGUUUAUGUUUCUA